RNAcentral lists this transfer RNA (82 nucleotides) under Spartobacteria bacterium LR76. It matches the Rfam family "tRNA". Rfam says of the family: Transfer RNA (tRNA) molecules are approximately 80 nucleotides in length. Their secondary structure includes four short double-helical elements and three loops (D, anti-codon, and T loops). Lineage: Bacteria; Pseudomonadati; Verrucomicrobiota; Spartobacteria. The record is from Rfam by way of RNAcentral.
GCCGGCGUGGCGGAACUGGCAGACGCGCGCGACUCAAAAUCGCGUUCCUUCGGGAGUGUGGGUUCGAUCCCCUCCGCCGGCA